GAUGAACGCUGGCGGCGUGCUUAACACAUGCAAGUCGAACGGGAUCCAAGGGGUGCUUGCACUUUUUGGUGAGAGUGGCGAACGGGUGAGUAACACGUGAGUAACCUGCCCUUUUCUUUGGGAUAAGCAUUCGAAAGGGUGUUUAAUACCUUAUGUUCUGUCUGCCUCGCAUGGGGUGGGUGGGAAAGGCUUUGGCCGGAUUUGGGUGGGCUCGCGGUCUAUCAGCUUGUUGGUGGGGUGAUGGCUUACCAAGGCUUUGACGGGUAGCCGGCCUGAGAGGGUGGUCGGUCACAUUGGGACUGAGAUACGGCCCAGACUCCUGCGGGAGGCAGCAGUGGGGGAAAUUGCACAAUGGGCGAAAGCCUGAUGCAGCGACGCCGCGUGGGGGAUGAAGGCCUUCGGGUUGUAAACUUCUUUUGCUCUGAACAAGGCAUGCCAGUGGGUGUGUUGAGUGUAGGGGUUGAUUAGCGCCGGCUAACUACGUG
This 485-nucleotide ribosomal RNA is filed under the name uncultured bacterium. RNAcentral describes it as "partial 16S ribosomal RNA". It matches the Rfam family "Bacterial small subunit ribosomal RNA", at positions 28 to 507 of the family's 1533-position model. The record is from RNAcentral.